GAGGUAAUGAGACCACAGAGAAGACAUGGUCCUCAUUGUAAUGACCUUUAAAGUAUUUGAGCAUAUUCAACUUCUGUUUCUUUAUUCCUGCCUCUCCAUGUGCCAGGACAAGGCUUUAAACAGCAGUGAGUCUGCAUCUGAAGUGAUGCUUAUGCCUAACAGGCCCGUGACACUCUGUUCAUACACAAGGCCUCUUCUGCAGUGCUGCGACACCACAAAAAGCACGGAGAUGCCCAUGCCAGUAAGAAGCAUGCUGGUGAGGGCAGAUAUUCCCCAGCUUUAUGGCCAGCUCUAAUAUGUUCAUCAUUUAUUAUGAGAGGAACUUGUCAGCAUGAGGGUGGUUCAACAGAUGUAGCAUAGAAAUGCUAUUUUGAAGAAAGGACUUCUAAUGGAAAUGGAAUGCAUAAAAGAACUAUUGGAGACCUUUGGAAAAAAAAGUGUUUUUCUUGUUUCUUGUACUAGCAGAAUGUCAUGAUUUAAAGCUGUGCCAGAAGAUCAGUGAGGAAGGAAUUGGUGCUUGCAGAGGUGUACGUUAACAUUUGGAGAGAUCCAGAUUUUAAAUUGUUAAUUCAUAUUUGCUUGAUUUGUAUUUAAGAAUAAUCCAAAGUAUAAAAUCUGUGAUAGCCAAAAUACAAAGGGGGAAUGGAAAGAGCUAAGAGUCUUAAAAUUCUCUGGGCAUUGUCUUUGUUGUUUGUGUUGAAAGGGCAGAUGCUGAGUGUAGUUUUUGCCUUAUUUUAACACCUGAGCCAAGAUGAAGGCAAGGAAGUGCUGAUGCACGUCUGUGUACGUCUCUCUGUGUCACCAUAACAGCUUAAGAAACUGCUUCGACUUAUGCGAAAAAGGGAGAAAAAAUCUACAGGAUACUCAAAAAAAAAAAAAAAAGGCAAAAUUAAAUAUAACAAAUAAUGUUAUUUGGGGUUUAAAGCAUUGUAGACUUUUUGACUGUGUCCAGGGAAACAUUUCCUCUAGAAAUCUAAGAAUUGAAGAUUUUUCAAAGACCUUGAAAUUCUGCAGGAAAAUAUUUCUUUUAUAUGGAGGAAAAAAGGACAUUUCCAGUCUAUAUCAGGAAUGCCUACAGUGUUUUCCUACAAAACAUGAUGUCUGUAUGAUGACCAAGAAUGAUAACAGAUUUUAAUAGCAGUUGUUCUUUGACUUCUGUUGCUUUAGACUUCAUUUUUUUUUAAAUGUGCUGUUGCACUUCAGAAAUAUUUAAUAACAGUGACUAACUUAAGGUCUAGUUAAAUGGCAAUUGACGAAUAGCAACUUUAAAUUAUAAUUUACUAAUUUGCCAGAGAUAUGAUCCUGGGGCCUCUUUAGAAUCAGUUGGUACCUGCUGUAUUUUUGAUUAAAAUAUCUGAUGCUAAAUAUUGUGUUUGUGACCAACCAGAAAUUAGUCCUAAUUCAUAGGUUAAAGACAGAAUUUUUAAAGACUAAUUCUGAAAAUGAGUUGGAUGAGUAAUACUUGUAAACUCUCUUUAGUGUGCGGCAUUGUCCAGCUUGUUUGUUCUUAUUCAUUAGCAUUGCUGGUAUCAAGUGUAGUAACUGAAGGAGUAAAACUUGCUUUGCUUCAUUUAAAAUCUGAAAAAUCCUGCAAGUCUUGGAAAGAUACACAGAUAUUUUUAUAUAUUUAAAUAUUUUUAAUUUUAGCCUAAGCAGUAAUAGGUAGUAUAAUGCUUGCUAUCUAGAUUUAGAAUCCUUGCAAAUAUUUAUGUACAUAAAAUUGCUCAAUUGUAUAGGUCAGUGUUCAAGGUUAAGCUUGCUUUAUAUAUAAUGUUCUUUCUCCAAUAUACUGGCAUGAACUUCAGGCUAGUGCUGUGGUAAGAAGGAAUAAUUUGCUCUGAUGCAAGUAAACAAAAACAAUUAGAAGACAUUUAUCUCCGUACACAGCGUAGUUUUGAACAGCCACAUUUCUAAGAAGGAAAAAUAAAUUGGAAAGAGUACCAGGAAAAAAAAAAAAAACUGCUAAAUUGAUUUGAGGGCUGGAAAAAAAUACCUUGCAAUAUGAAGCUUAGGACUCAGUAAGUAUUGGUUUAGCAUAAAGACUGGGAUAUAACUUGAUUACAGUACUUACUGUUGCUGGGCAAAAAUACUGAGAAAAUUACAGUACAUGAGUAACUUAUAACAGGAAGCAAUAGCUGGAAGCUGAAAUCAGAUAAAUUUGUGUUGAAGGUAGUAAUGAUAAUCUCACUAUGUGGAGAAAUCUGGGGUUGGCCCUAAGAGAUGUGCAGAAAAAAAACUGUCACACAGCAUCUGGAUGCAACAAAGUCAGCAUCAGUAGCAAGUUUUUUGAAAAUUACAUUUUGAGAAACAUUCUGGCUUUCUUGUGCUGUUUGUGUAGAAGUCGUGGAGAAAAAGGGAGGAGAAAAAAACAAAACAAAACACAAAACAAAAAAAUAUAAUGGAGGAGAAAAUGUUCUGGGAAGAUAUCAAAAAUGUAGGACAAAAACAUUUCAUGUGGCAAGGGCUCAGAUAUGUCUUUUCUGGAAAAAAAAAAAAAGUGGAAACAUUUUGCUGAUUUCUUUGCUGAAUGCCAGGGUUGAAAUAACACUUCAAAAACAAGUAUUUUUUUAAAUAAAAAUUAAAAAAAAUAAUCACGGCACUUUAGUUUUGAAAUAAAACUGGCUGCAACAGUC
Long non-coding RNA from Oxyura jamaicensis (ruddy duck), 2633 nucleotides. RefSeq lists it as uncharacterized. The transcript has 3 exons. The record is from RefSeq and is a predicted model, not a curated record. NCBI's taxonomy places the organism in Eukaryota, Metazoa, Chordata, Aves, Anseriformes, Anatidae.